CCUACGGGUGGCAGCAGUAGGGAAUAUUGCUCAAUGGGGGAAACCCUGAAGCAGCAACGCCGCGUGGAGGAUGAAGGUUUUCGGAUUGUAAACUCCUUUUGUUAGAGAAGAUAAUGACGGUAUCUAACGAAUAAGCACCGGCUAACUCCGUGCCAGCAGCCGCGGUAAUACGGAGGGUGCAAGCGUUACUCGGAAUCAAUGGGCGUAAAGAGCGCGUAGGCGGGAUAGCAAGUCAGAUGUGAAAUCCUAUGGCUUAACCAUCGAACUGCAUUUGAAACUGUCAUUCUAGAGUAUGGGAGAGGUAGGUGGAAUUCUUGGUGUAGGGGUAAAAUGCGUAGAGAUAAAGAGGAAUACUGAUGGCGAAGGCGACCUGCUAGAACAUAACUGACGCUGAUGCGCGAAAGCGUGGGGAGCAAACAGGAUUAGAUACCCUUGUAGUC
RNAcentral lists this ribosomal RNA (440 nucleotides) under uncultured bacterium. RNAcentral's name for it is "partial 16S ribosomal RNA". It matches the Rfam family "Bacterial small subunit ribosomal RNA", at positions 338 to 795 of the family's 1533-position model. The record is from RNAcentral.